Long non-coding RNA from Gallus gallus (chicken), 1001 nucleotides. Lineage: Eukaryota; Metazoa; Chordata; Aves; Galliformes; Phasianidae. The record is from Ensembl.
CCCCAUCUGCACUGCACACGUUUGUCUGCUCUGCUGCGUGGUCCCUACUGCUGUCAGCACACCCACAGGGCCCCGAGGUCUCCAGCACAGCCUGGGACCUCCAGGGAUUUAAUUCUCUGAAACUGAACCGGGCAUUCUUUGGUACCUUCCACGUUUUCAACGACCUCAUCAAUUGGGAGGCCCAAAACUGGACAGCAGGAUUGCACACAGCAUCAUGCACUGGGAGAUAAUCAUAGAAUUACAGAAUGGUUUGGCUUGGAAUGGAUCCCAAAGCCCACCCAGCUCAAAGCCGACCCAGGGCUGCCACCCACCAGCUCAGGCUGCCCAGGGUCCCAUCCAACCUGGCCCUGUAUGCUUCCAGGGAGGGGGCAUCCACAGCUUCUCUGGGCAGCAGUGCCAGCACCUCACCGCCCUCUGAGUAAACAAUUUCUUUCUACCAUCUAACCUGAAUCUUCCCUCUUUUCGCUAAAAGCCACUCCACCUUGACCUAUCACUAUCAGACUGUGUAAAAAGCUGGUCCCCCUCCUGUUUAUAAGCUCCCUUCAAGUACUGGAAUGCCACGAUGAAGUGUCCUGGGGCCUUCUCUUCUCCAGACUGAACAAGCCCAGCUCCUUCAGCCUGUCUUUGUAGGAGAGAGAGGUGUUCCAGCCCUCUCAUCAUCUUCAUGGCCUCCUCUGGACCUGCUCUAAUAGCUCUAUGUCUUUCUUGUGCUGGGGCCCCAGACCUGGAUGCAGUGCUCCAGAUGGGACCUUACAAGGGCAGAGUAGACGGGGACAGUGAUCUCUCUUACCCUGCUGGCCCCCUCCUCUUUUGAUGCAGCCCCUUGAUUUGUUGGCCACCUGCUUCCUGACAUAGGCCAGCCUGUGCUAUGCCCUGUUUGCAACAAGAACGCUGUUCACCCAUCUUCAGCUUGGCAUCCACAGUAAGCACUAUCCAUAUAGCAGGGCUGCUGUAUGGUUUCCAGCCUCUGUUGUACACUCUUGUAUAAGCAGCUUUCCUGU